RNAcentral lists this ribosomal RNA (482 nucleotides) under uncultured bacterium. Its description in RNAcentral is "partial 16S ribosomal RNA". It matches the Rfam family "Bacterial small subunit ribosomal RNA", at positions 30 to 507 of the family's 1533-position model. The record is from RNAcentral.
AUUGAACGCUGGCGGCAUGCCUUACACAUGCAAGUCGAACGGUAACGGGCCUUCGGGUGCCGACGAGUGACGAACGGGUGUGUAAUACAUCGGAACGUGCCCGAUCGUGGGGGUUAACGAGGCGAAAGCUUUGCUAAUACCGCAUCCGAUCUACGGAUGAAAGCAGGGGACCGCAAGGCCUUGCGCGGACGGAGCGGCCGAUGGCAGAUUAGGUAGUUGGUGGGAUAAAAGCUUACCAAGCCGACGAUCGGUAGCUGGUCUGAGAGGAUGAUCAGCCACACUGGGACGGAGACACGGCCCAGACUCCUACGGGAGGCAGCAGUGGGGAAUGUUGGACAAUGGGCGCAAGCCUGAUCCAGCCAUGCCGCGUGCAGGAUGAAGGCCUUCGGGUUGUAAACUGCUUUUGUACGGAACGAAAAGCCUUCUUUUAAUACAGGAGGGUCAUGACGGUACCGGAAGAAUAAGCACCGGCUAACUACGUG